Molecule: long non-coding RNA, 1133 nt
Filed under: Numida meleagris (helmeted guineafowl)
Lineage: Eukaryota; Metazoa; Chordata; Aves; Galliformes; Numididae
Description: lncRNA (ENSNMEG00000001912.1)
Source: RNAcentral
UGUUUUGGGGGAGAACACAUCUGAAAAGUGGCCGAUUUUGUUUUUUUUUCCCCCAUUUUGGCCAACGAGGAGAUGGGAAACCCAACUGGUGUUGGGAGACCCAACUAGCGAUGUUUUAGGGGGAAAACGCACCCCCACGGCGCCCGAUUUUGGGUUUUUUCGCCCUAUUUUGGCCAACGAGGAGAUGGGAGACCCGACUAGUGGUGUUUUGGGGGAAAACGCAUCUCAAAAGUGGCCGAUUUUGGGUUUUUUCACCCCAUUUCGGCCAAUGAAGAGGCAGCACUCACGCUAGAGGUCGAGACACCCAACUGAUGCGGUUUUGGUGGCAAACACCCCCCCCCAAGUGCCCAAUUUUGGGUUGUUUCCCCUCAUUUUGGCCAACGAGGAGAUGAGAGACCCAGCUAGUGGUGGUCUGGGCAAAACGCAUUGGAAAAGUGCCCGAUUUUGGGUUGUUUCCCCCCAUUUUGGCCAACGAGGAGAUGGGAAACCCAACUGGUGUUGGGAGACGCAACUAGCGACGUUUUAGGGGGAAAACACACCCCCCCACGGCGCCCAAAUUCGGGUUUUUUUUCCCCUCGUUUUUGGCCGCCCAAGAAGCCGGCACUGCCGGUAGAGCCUUGGCCAACCCAACCGAAACCCAACGGACGCUCUUCUUCGGCGAACCAAAGCCGGCCAACAUCGCCCUUCGCCCUUCUACCGGAGCACCGAGGGCGCGCGUCCGUCCGUCCGUCCGUCCGUCCUUCCAUCCCGUUCGGAUGGAAGAGGAAGAGGAAGAGCGCAGGUUAAAGGCUGAUGCUGCGGUGAUGCCGGAAGCGUCCGUGCCCGCCGCGCUGCGGCGCCGGCUCCUCCGUCUCUUCGCCAUGGAGGCUGGUGGCGUCCGAGAGGCCGAGCAAAUGCUCGACGGAAUCGAAUUUCUGAAGAUCGGAGGCGGCGGGCGUGGAUCUGCUCGCUGAUCUGCUCCAGGUUGCGGAGGGCCACUGAGUAGCGCGUCUUCGCUUGGGCCACGCGCUCCUCCAGCGCCGUCACCUUGGCUUUGUGCUCCUGGGGGAAGGGGACGGAGAGAGGUCGGCGCCUGGUUGGGGUUGGCCAACGUUGGGUUGGGUUGGGUUGGUCCCAGCCCAUGGAAUGGGGUC